This 74-nucleotide transfer RNA is filed under the name Morus notabilis. It matches the Rfam family "tRNA". From Rfam's summary of the family: Transfer RNA (tRNA) molecules are approximately 80 nucleotides in length. Their secondary structure includes four short double-helical elements and three loops (D, anti-codon, and T loops). Lineage: Eukaryota; Viridiplantae; Streptophyta; Magnoliopsida; Rosales; Moraceae. The record is from Rfam by way of RNAcentral.
AGCGGGGUAGAGGAAUUCGUCGACUCAUGAGGCUCAUGACCUGAAGACUGCACGUUCGAAUCUUGUCCGUCCUA